CAGUCGCCGCGGGAAUACAGAGGGUGCGAGCGUUAAUCGGAUUUACUGGGCGUAAAGCGUGCGUAGGCGGCUUUUUAAGUCGGAUGUGAAGUCCCUGAGCUUAACUUAGGAAUUGCAUUCGAUACUGGGAAGCUAGAGUAUGGGAGAGGAUGGUAGAAUUCCAGGUGUAGCGGUGAAAUGCGUAGAGAUCUGGAGGAAUACCGAUGGCGAAGGCAGCCAUCUGGCCUAAUACUGACGCUGAGGUACGAAAGCAUGGGGAGCAAACAGGAUUAGAUACCCGAGUAGUCCCUGUCUCUUAUAC
Molecule: ribosomal RNA, 301 nt
Filed under: uncultured bacterium
Lineage: Bacteria
Description: partial 16S ribosomal RNA
Rfam family: Bacterial small subunit ribosomal RNA
Source: RNAcentral